RNAcentral lists this long non-coding RNA (260 nucleotides) under Mytilus galloprovincialis (Mediterranean mussel). Lineage: Eukaryota; Metazoa; Mollusca; Bivalvia; Mytilida; Mytilidae. The record is from RNAcentral.
CGUUGAUUUUGUUGAACGAGGAAUACUGCUUUCUCAAAAGUUGCUAAGACAGGGCUAUGAAUCAAUCAAAUUAAGGUCAUCACUCAAGCAAUUUUAUGGUCGCCAUCAUGAGCUGAUUGGCCAUUAUGACAAAAGUGUGUCAGAAAUCAUAUCUCAGUGAUAUUCUUCCUCAGUCAUAACAACCUUUCAUCAUUACCGAACUGAACAAAGAAAUAACAUGACGGGUGCCGUAUACGGUGCAGGAAAUGCUUACCCUUCCG